This 150-nucleotide unclassified non-coding RNA is filed under the name Scutellospora alterata. Its description in RNAcentral is "partial internal transcribed spacer region". The stretch from base 1 to 46 matches the Rfam family "Eukaryotic small subunit ribosomal RNA", at positions 1786 to 1831 of the family's 1831-position model. The record is from RNAcentral. Lineage: Eukaryota; Fungi; Glomeromycota; Glomeromycetes; Diversisporales; Gigasporaceae.
AAGUCGUAACAAGGUUUCCGUAGGUGAACCUGCGGAAGGAUCAUUAAAAAAAUUUUGAGGUAUUUUAUACCUCUUGUAUUUAAAACCCAACUCUUUUAAACCUAAUUUUUUAAUAAAAAAAAACUUUCAACAACGGAUCUCUUGGCUCUC